UACAGAGGUCCCAAGCGUUGUUCGGAUUCACUGGGCGUAAAGGGUGCGUAGGCGGUCGGGUAAGUCUAAUGUGAAAUCUCCGGGCCUAACCCGGAAACUGCAUCGGAUACUAUCCGGCUAGAGGAUUGGAUGGGAGACUGGAAUACUUGGUGUAGCAGUGAAAUGCGUAGAUAUCAAGUGGAACACCAGUGGCGAAGGCGAGUCUCUGGACAAUUCCUGACGCUGAGGCACGAAAGCCAGGGGAGCAAACGGG
RNAcentral lists this ribosomal RNA (253 nucleotides) under uncultured bacterium. RNAcentral describes it as "partial 16S ribosomal RNA". It matches the Rfam family "Bacterial small subunit ribosomal RNA", at positions 524 to 776 of the family's 1533-position model. The record is from RNAcentral.